This 656-nucleotide ribosomal RNA is filed under the name Eulimnogammarus cruentus. RNAcentral's name for it is "bacterial SSU rRNA". It matches the Rfam family "Eukaryotic small subunit ribosomal RNA", at positions 1255 to 1756 of the family's 1831-position model. Lineage: Eukaryota; Metazoa; Arthropoda; Malacostraca; Amphipoda; Eulimnogammaridae. The record is from RNAcentral.
CUCUUUCUCGAUUCAGUGGAUGGUGGUGCAUGGCCGUUCUUAGUUGGUGGAGUGAUCUGUCUGGUUAAUUCCGAUAACGAACGAGACUCUCCCCUGCUAACUAGUCGGUUGGAUCUUGAUCAGUGGGUUGAGUGCCGAGUAACUCUCGCUGUGCGUGUUGUGCGUCGCGUUCCUCACGGUUCGUUGCGUGCUCAUGUGUGGCGUUGGAUGCCUUGGAUCACACUGCACCCCAAGUCCGCCGCUUUGCUAUAACUCUUCUUAGAGGGAUUCACGGCACUGAAGCCGUAAGAGACUGAGAGCAAUAACAGGUCUGUGAUGCCCUUAGAUGCUCUGGGCCGCACGCGCGCUACAAUGCCGGGCACAGCAGGUGUUUCUCCUGCUCCGACAGGAGCGGGUAACCCUCUGAAAGCCAGUGUUCUUGCAAGUGCUUCCUCCCUCGUGGAGUUGCACAGAGGCGUGCUUGGGCCUGGGACUUGCAAUUCUUUCCCACCAACGAGGAAUGCCUAGUAGCGGCGGGUCACUGAGCCCGCUGUGACUCAGUCCCUGCCCUUUGUACACACCGCCCGUCGCUACUACCGAUUGGGUGUACCAGUGAGAGCCUUGGACUGGCGUCCGUUGUUGCUCGCAAGAGUGACAAGCGGGUCCGACGGAAAGAG